This 137-nucleotide unclassified non-coding RNA is filed under the name uncultured Dothideomycetes. RNAcentral's name for it is "sequence contains ITS1". Lineage: Eukaryota; Fungi; Ascomycota; Dothideomycetes. The record is from RNAcentral.
UCGUGGGGAUUCGUCCCUAUCGAGAUAGCACCCUUUGUCUAUGAGUACCUUCUGUUUCCUCGGCGGGUUAUGCCCGCCAAUGGGGACCCUUUAAACCCUUUGCAGUAGCAGUAAACUUCUGAUACAAAUAAAUAUUA